UGAUUCUAAACGCAUAAAUAUUCUCUGUGUCAUGUAAAAGAUGCAUACAAUUUUUCUUAUGAAAGAAAUAUCAUAAAAAUAAUUAUUUCUUGCGUUUGUUUUAACAUUUUACCAAUUGUUUAUAAGUUUAUUGGACAAUGUUUCUACUACGGUGGGGAACGUGCCUCAUUUUCGAUAGCAGUCAACGAACGUGUGAGAUUUUCAUAGCGAUGCGAACGAAAGAUGCGUAGACGCAUUUUGGUAGAAACUGGUGGGGGAACGUGGCGGCGCGCGAUAUGAUAGCGUUUUGAGACGGUUCAGUUCCGCGCCGUCUUUCACGUGCGCGACACAUUUCGGGAAACGAGAAAUCGUGUUCGCAUAAAAGUAUCAGUGUAUGAAUUUUUUGUUGUUUUCUCUAUCGUCUUUAUUUUAAUCUCGCAAUAUUCUUUUGGAUACUUUUUUUUUCUCUUCGAACAACUUGAUUUUAUACCGUUGCUGUUCGUGUUUCGUGCGAUUUUUUCUGAUUUAUCAGAAAGAAAAAUGUGUGACAGUGUAUUAAGCGUCCUUUGGAUACGAUCACGGAUAAACCAACGCACUGGAUGAACCUGUUUAAAAGCGCUGGAGUCUCGGAGGCCCGUGGCGCGACGAAUUACAUACAGCGGAAGGAUCUUUUUUAACAGCCUGGUGGUACGAUUAUCCUCCGAUGUUGGCCACGGCGAAAUAG
Molecule: long non-coding RNA, 703 nt
Organism: Megachile rotundata (alfalfa leafcutting bee)
Lineage: Eukaryota; Metazoa; Arthropoda; Insecta; Hymenoptera; Megachilidae
Source: RefSeq, a predicted model, not a curated record